GGGGCCCUAGUAAAAUAAUUACAUGUCCCUGUCAGUGCCAAAUUACAGGUAUACCUAAACCUGUGGACCCCA
Molecule: transfer RNA, 72 nt
Filed under: Psammodromus algirus
Lineage: Eukaryota; Metazoa; Chordata; Lepidosauria; Squamata; Lacertidae
Description: tRNA-Asp
Source: RNAcentral